Otolemur garnettii (small-eared galago) is the source of this 75-nucleotide small nucleolar RNA. Ensembl annotates it as small nucleolar RNA, C/D box 114-14. Its record names the gene SNORD114-14. Lineage: Eukaryota; Metazoa; Chordata; Mammalia; Primates; Galagidae. The record is from Ensembl.
UGGACCAAUGAUGAUAUCUGCCGGCGUAUGAGUUGUGGAUGAUGAAUAAUAAAUGUCUGGAACUCUGAGGUCCAA